Chiloscyllium plagiosum (whitespotted bambooshark) is the source of this 1961-nucleotide non-coding RNA. The record is from RefSeq and is a predicted model, not a curated record. Lineage: Eukaryota; Metazoa; Chordata; Chondrichthyes; Orectolobiformes; Hemiscylliidae.
UGCAGGCGAUAUAGAAAUGUAGUUUUAUAGGUGCUCGUGGAAUGUAGCUUCUGUAGAUGGGGGAGGGGUGAGACAUUAUACAAACGGUCACAAAAUUCUUGUAGCAUGUAAUAUACUUAAGACUAAUGAAUAUAGGGGGUCUUGUAAAGAAGUAGUUCUAAAGAAAAUAGUUUAAGCUAGGAAAAAACUAUGGAGUGUUGUAGCUGACCACAAAAGAAGAAAUAAGGGCGUUUUCACAAUAAAGCUUAUAGUAACAGAACAAACAAAGAAUAAGGAAUGCAGACAUCCAGGGACGGCUUGGUACAAAGAUAAGGAAAUUGAAAAACAAGUGAGGUAACCGACUUGUGAUAGGACCAGAGAGAAAAGGGGGGCGUGUUUCAGCAAUUCAUAAACUAGACAAAGAAAAGCUACAUGCUCUGUUACGCGCGCAUUUCUACUGGACCAUAGAAGCGCCAGGAUUUGCAAAUUCGCAAUAAAUUGUCCUUGUUUCCAAGGCCUUGUCUCCAGCUGAUUUAUAAAUGAACAGAAGGCUGGACCAUUUGUUAUAAUCUUCUACACGUUGAGUCUGUCGGCACCAGUUCAGACAUAUCAUGGAUCACAAAGAGAGCAUCAGAAGGAAGUUCCUAGAGAUGCACUUGGUGCAAGUAAAGACCAAUAAAUUGAAGAGACUGCAGAAGCAAUCUAAAUGAAAGGGCAAGCCCAGAUAUCCAAGGGUGCAACCUGACCAGGCAGUAGAGGAACAGUAAAAACAAAGUAAUGGUGAAGACACAGCACAAUCACUUUAAUUCACACCUGUACCAGUUCAGAAACUGACACGGAUGUUUCUUAGUGGAAAAUGAGAGCUGAAUUUGCCUGUCGUAAGAUACUGAGCAUAAGUGGUCUGCAACCAUGGUAGGGGGCAUGAAUAGCUUAGUCUCAAGCACAAUGAGAUCACCCAUAAGAUUCCAGCUGCAGAAGACUUAGAUGAGCACUUCAGUGGGCAGCAGACAGAAGAUGUUUGAUGUCUAUGAAUAAUGAAAUGCUCAGUACAUUGAAAGUUUUGUUGGAAAGCUUUCAGUCAACAACACAGAGAAUUGAGGAUUAUGAUAUCACCUUGGCAAAGCCUUUUACACAUUGUCAGUGGUCAGCUAAAUCCACAGAUUUGUGACACCAACCAUGAUACAAUAUGAUAUGACUGAUGAUGUAGCUUCCAUUACAGAACUAGCAGGAGCCACUCAAUGUUUGAGUUAUGCAGAAGAGGUACAAUCUACUGUCAUGCAACAGCAGUUUGCUGCCUGCAUGGCUGUGGAUUAUAAUGUCUUAAAGAGGUUUUCAGGGUGCUACAGCAAUCCAGCAAAUGGAUGGAUUCUGUUGUCCAGAGAAGCUACCUCAGGGCAGUGGCAGUGGCUCCAGGCUGCGUGAACCUGCUGUCUUGACUCAGGAAAAGAAGCAUUCAGCCUCCAACUCGAAGUGCUCUGGCCUUGUUCAAGGAGAGCAUGCCAGCAAAAGCUCCAGGCACACCUAAAAAUGAGGUAGCAAUCUAGUGAAGUUACAACACAUUAUUAUGUGGAUGCAAAACAGAAUUGACAGCAUUAAGUGGUCCAACAGAUCAGAUCAGAAUCUGUAGUCCUGUGAUGUGACUCAUGAUGACCGAAUUAAUUACUAAUUGAAAGAGGAAGAUCCAGAAGUAUUUCCAUCCUCAGUGAUGGGGAAUCUAGUAAAACAAUUUAACAUACAAAAAUAAACAUUUAUAACCAGCUUCAGCCAGAUGUACCAAGUGGAUUUCUCUUAAUAUCUCCAGCAUCGCAGAAUGUAGUCUUCAGCCAACUCAAUAUUGCAUAAUAGGUGAAUGCAUUGAACACAGCAAAGCCUUUGGGCCUCAUUAACAUCCUGACUGCAGUUGUGUUCCAGGCCUACAUACACCCUUAGCCAAGCUGUUCUAGUAAAGCUAAAAUAUCAGGAAAUGUGGAAAAUUACCCAAA